GAGUUUGAUCUUGGCUCAGAAUGAACGCUGGCGGCGUGCCUAACACGUGCAAGUCGAUCGGUAACGCGGGGGCAACCCUGGCGACGAGAGGCGGACGGGUGAGCAAUGCUUGGGAAUCUGCCCAUCAGCGGGGGACAACCCGGGGAAACUCGGGCUAAUACCGCAUACGCUCUACGGAGGAAAGCCGGGGACCGCAAGGCCUGGCACUGAUGGAUGAGCCCAAGUCGGAUUAGCUAGUUGGCGGGGUAACGGCCCACCAAGGCGACGAUCCGUAGCUGGUCUGAGAGGACGAUCAGCCACACCGGAACUGAGACACGGUCCGGACUCCUACGGGAGGCAGCAGUGGGGAAUAUUGGACAAUGGGGGAAACCCUGAUCCAGCGACGCCGCGUGGGUGAAGAAGGCCUGCGGGUUGUAAGCCCUUUCGGUAGGGACGAAAGCUUCCGACCUAACACGUCGGAGGUUGACUUAACCUACAGAAGAAGCACCGGCUAACUCUGUGCCAGCCGCCGCCGUAA
RNAcentral lists this ribosomal RNA (517 nucleotides) under uncultured Gammaproteobacteria bacterium. RNAcentral describes it as "bacterial SSU rRNA". It matches the Rfam family "Bacterial small subunit ribosomal RNA", at positions 9 to 523 of the family's 1533-position model. Lineage: Bacteria; Pseudomonadati; Pseudomonadota; Gammaproteobacteria. The record is from RNAcentral.